UGCAGGGAAGUAUCUCAGUCAGUAGAGCAUGAGACUCUUAAUCUCAGGGUCAUGGGUCUAAGCCCCACAUUUGGGCAA
Non-coding RNA from Podarcis lilfordi (Lilford's wall lizard), 78 nucleotides. Lineage: Eukaryota; Metazoa; Chordata; Lepidosauria; Squamata; Lacertidae. The record is from the annotation of a GenBank genome assembly.